GUUUGAUCAUGGCUCAGGACGAACGCUGGCGGCGUGCCUAAUACAUGCAAGUCGAGCGGACUAAUGGGAGCUUGCUCCCGUUAGUUAGCGGCGGACGGGUGAGUAACACGUGGGCAACCUACCUGUAAGACUGGGAUAACUUCGGGAAACCGGAGCUAAUACCGGAUGACAUAAAGGAACUCCUGUUCCUUUAUUGAAAGAUGGCUUUUAGCUAUCACUUACAGAUGGGCCCGCGGCGCAUUAGCUAGUUGGUGAGGUAACGGCUCACCAAGGCGACGAUGCGUAGCCGACCUGAGAGGGUGAUCGGCCACACUGGGACUGAGACACGGCCCAGACUCCUACGGGAGGCAGCAGUAGGGAAUCUUCCGCAAUGGACGAAAGUCUGACGGAGCAACGCCGCGUGAGCGAUGAAGGCCUUCGGGUCGUAAAGCUCUGUUGUUAGGGAAGAAUAAGUGCUAGUUGAAUAAGCUGGCACCUUGACGGUACCUAACCAGAAAGCCACGGCUAACUACGUGCCAGCAGCCGCGGUAAUACGUAGGUGGCAAGCGUUGUCCGGAAUUACUGGGCGU
RNAcentral lists this ribosomal RNA (569 nucleotides) under uncultured bacterium. Its description in RNAcentral is "bacterial SSU rRNA". It matches the Rfam family "Bacterial small subunit ribosomal RNA", at positions 11 to 561 of the family's 1533-position model. The record is from RNAcentral.